Non-coding RNA from Ictidomys tridecemlineatus (thirteen-lined ground squirrel), 968 nucleotides. The record is from RefSeq and is a predicted model, not a curated record. NCBI's taxonomy places the organism in Eukaryota, Metazoa, Chordata, Mammalia, Rodentia, Sciuridae.
GCCAGACUGCAAAGCUCUCCAGCUGGCAUCGCUUAUAUCCCACGGAAGUGGGUCUCCAGGACCCACCCCUCCUGGCAGCCGCAGCUCAUCCCAGACUGGCUUUGCCUGCUCCAGGACCAGCCCCUUGACCUCUCACAGGACCUUUCUUGGCCCUUCCCAGUUCGGGCACAGCAAGAAGUCAGACACCUUGAUUAUGCAGACCUGACAGGCCUUGCAUUCUAGACGGGGAAGAUAAAUGCCUGAACUUUGCUGAAACCCACGGACAGAUGCGUUGUGUUUGGGCUCUGUGUACAGACGUGGCUCUCCAAGAUAGCCAAGAGUCAUCUGCAUUCCAUGGAAGUCUCCCUCUCCAUCCCGCACAGACUCCUCCAUCCUGCUUGGGUCUUGGGAGAAGUGGAAAGCUACCACAGACUGCUUUUACAUUUUCCGCUCGGCCCAUCUGUCCAUUUUAUCCAAAUAUUAGGGUUAGAACCCUUUCAUUAUCUUUUUGUCCCCUUAGAUUCUCUGGGCUUUGUCUCUUCCUCAUCAUAGUUUUCUAAUAGGCAAAGGGAAUGUUCUGCCCAGGUGGAGGGAGAGAACGGACGGCCCAGGCGACUUCCAUACCGGCAGGUUUUCUGUGGAGUUGAAGCUGUCUGUGAGGAGCAGUAGGCCAAAGGCUUCGGUAACAUACUUGGUCACCAUCCUCCUCUUCUCGUCCAAGAGCCUUUUCCUGAUGUAUUCUCUUAACUUGGGGAUUUCUGGAAUUACAGACGGCACAGACAAUUUUAAAAGGCCAAGUUUGCAUGGAACAGAAUUCACACACAUGGAAAGAUCAGUUGGCCCUUGCAGCUGGCUGCCUCCUCAACCAGUUUUCUGAAAGACAUUUUUUCUCGUCUGGGAUCAACAACAGUGAAAGGUGACUCAGCCAUGGUGAAUAUUAAUUUGGUUUAGCUAUUCAAAAUAAAAUUCAUAGAAAAGUACAGACUGGC